GAUCCUGGCUCAGGACGAACGCUGGCGGCGUGCUUAACACAUGCAAGUCGAACGAGAAUCACCGGAAGGAGUUUUCGGACAACGGAAGGUGAGGACAGUGGCGGACGGGUGAGUAACGCGUGAGGAACCUGCCUUUCAGAGGGGGACAACAGUUGGAAACGACUGCUAAUACCGCAUGACACAUAGAGAUCGCAUUGGUUUUUAUGUCAAAGAUUUAUCGCUGAAAGAUGG
RNAcentral lists this ribosomal RNA (231 nucleotides) under uncultured bacterium. Its description in RNAcentral is "partial 16S ribosomal RNA". It matches the Rfam family "Bacterial small subunit ribosomal RNA", at positions 15 to 228 of the family's 1533-position model. The record is from RNAcentral.